UACGAAGGGGGCUAGCGUUGCUCGGAAUCACUGGGCGUAAAGCGCACGUAGGCGGAUCUUUAAGUCAGGGGUGAAAUCCUGGAGCUCAACUCCAGAACUGCCUUUGAUACUGGAGAUCUCGAGUCCGGAAGAGGUGAGUGGAACUCCGAGUGUAGAGGUGAAAUUCGUAGAUAUUCGCAAGAACACCAGUGGCGAAGGCGGCUCACUGGCCCGGUACUGACGCUGAGGUGCGAAAGCGUGGGGAGCAAACAGG
RNAcentral lists this ribosomal RNA (253 nucleotides) under uncultured bacterium. RNAcentral's name for it is "partial 16S ribosomal RNA". It matches the Rfam family "Bacterial small subunit ribosomal RNA", at positions 524 to 776 of the family's 1533-position model. The record is from RNAcentral.